Molecule: ribosomal RNA, 465 nt
Filed under: Vreelandella stevensii
Lineage: Bacteria; Pseudomonadati; Pseudomonadota; Gammaproteobacteria; Oceanospirillales; Halomonadaceae
Description: partial 16S ribosomal RNA
Rfam family: Bacterial small subunit ribosomal RNA
Source: RNAcentral
CCUACGGGUGGCAGCAGUGGGGAAUAUUGGACAAUGGGCGAAAGCCUGAUCCAGCCAUGCCGCGUGUGUGAAGAAGGCCUUCGGGUUGUAAAGCACUUUCAGUGGGGAAGAAAGCCUUGGGGCUAAUACCCUCGAGGAAGGACAUCACCCACAGAAGAAGCACCGGCUAACUCCGUGCCAGCAGCCGCGGUAAUACGGAGGGUGCGAGCGUUAAUCGGAAUUACUGGGCGUAAAGCGCGCGUAGGCGGUCUGAUAAGCCGGUUGUGAAAGCCCCGGGCUCAACCUGGGAACGGCAUCCGGAACUGUCAGGCUAGAGUGCAGGAGAGGAAGGUAGAAUUCCCGGUGUAGCGGUGAAAUGCGUAGAGAUCGGGAGGAAUACCAGUGGCGAAGGCGGCCUUCUGGACUGACACUGACGCUGAGGUGCGAAAGCGUGGGUAGCAAACAGGAUUAGGUACCCCUGUAGUC